UACGUAGGGUGCGAGCGUUAAUCGGAAUUACUGGGCGUAAAGCGUGCGCAGGCGGUCGUUCAAGUCGAGUGUGAAAGCCCCCGGCUCAACUGGGGAGGGUCACUCGAUACUGAUCGACUCGAAGGCAGGAGAGGGAAGUGGAAUUCCCGGUGUAGUGGUGAAAUGCGUUGAUAUCGGGAGGAACACCAGUGGCGAAGGCGACUUCCUGGCCUGUUCUUGACGCUGAGGCGCGAAAGCUAGGGGAGCAAACGGGG
RNAcentral lists this ribosomal RNA (254 nucleotides) under uncultured bacterium. RNAcentral describes it as "partial 16S ribosomal RNA". It matches the Rfam family "Bacterial small subunit ribosomal RNA", at positions 524 to 777 of the family's 1533-position model. The record is from RNAcentral.